CAAUAGCGUAUAUUAAAGUUGUUGCGGUUAAAAAGCUCGUAGUUGGAUUUCUGUCGAAGGCGGCCGGUCCGCACUAUGUGCGUGCAUCUGGUUCGGUUUUGGCAUCCUCUUGGGAAGCGUUUCUGUGCUUGAUUGCAUGGGGCGGAAUUCAAUGACUUUACUUUGAGGAAAUUAGAGUGUUCACGGCAAGCUAUCGCUUUGAAUACAUUAGCAUGGAAUAAUAAUAUAGGGCGUGAGUUCUAUUUUGUUGGUUUCUAGGACAUACGCAAUGAUUAAUAGGGACAAUUGGGGGCGAUUCGUAUUAACGCGUCAGAGGUGGAAUUCUUAGAUUGCGUUACGACGAACUACUGCGAAAGCAUUUGCCAAGGAUGUUUUCAUUGAUCAAGAACGAAAGUAUGGGGAUCGAAGACGAUUAGAU
This 418-nucleotide ribosomal RNA is filed under the name uncultured eukaryote. Its description in RNAcentral is "SSU rRNA". It matches the Rfam family "Eukaryotic small subunit ribosomal RNA", at positions 592 to 1013 of the family's 1831-position model. The record is from RNAcentral.